GUAGGUGGCAAGCGUUGUCCGGAAUUAUUGGGCGUAAAGCGCGCGCAGGCGGUCCUUUAAGUCUGAUGUGAAAGCCCACGGGCUCAACCGUGGAGGGUCAUUGGAAACUGGGGGACUUGAGUACAGAAGAGGAAAGCGGAAUUCCAAGUGUAGCGGUGAAAUGCGUAGAGAUUUGGAGGAACACCAGUGGCGAAGGCGGCUUUCUGGUCUGUAACUGACGCUGAGGCGCGAAAGCGUGGGGAGCAAACAGGAUUAGAUACCCUGGUAGUCCACGCCGUAAACGAUGAGUGCUAAGUGUUAGGGGGGGUUUCCGCCCCUUAGUGCUGCAGCUAACGCAUUAAGCACUCCGCCUGGGGAGUACGGCCGCAAAGGCUGA
RNAcentral lists this ribosomal RNA (376 nucleotides) under uncultured organism. RNAcentral's name for it is "partial 16S ribosomal RNA". It matches the Rfam family "Bacterial small subunit ribosomal RNA", at positions 527 to 897 of the family's 1533-position model. The record is from RNAcentral.